Molecule: long non-coding RNA, 567 nt
Filed under: Ursus thibetanus thibetanus
Lineage: Eukaryota; Metazoa; Chordata; Mammalia; Carnivora; Ursidae
Description: lncRNA (ENSUTTG00000001620.1)
Source: RNAcentral
CGCGAGAGUCAGCCGACCAAGGACUCGGUACCGCGAGCCGCCUUUUCUUUCUUUUUUUCCCCUCAGUGUGUGUAGCUUUAAUUGGUGAGUUCGGCUGGAAGGCGGGGCCUCACGGGGAAAAGAAACUGGAGGCUGAGCAGACACUCUCUGCGUAGGAUCAUCAUGCCGAGCAUAAACUGGACUUUCCCACUUGCCUGGCAGGAGUGAGACAGAUCACUGUGUGCUAAAUGAGCAUCUGAGGAUGGAAUGCUCUGAAUAUAUCUGUGAAGUCUAUCUGUGAAGUCCAUCUUGUCCAGUGUGUCAUUCAAAGCCCUGCUUUCCUUGUUGAUCUUCUGCUUAGAUGAUGUGUCCAUCACAGAUGUUGUUCAACCUAGAAGAAAAUGCUUCUGCGCAGUGGCUAGUCUGCUUCCCUUCAUUAUCUUCCUACCAUGCAAAAAGAAAAAAAUUUUUUUUCUUAAGAUUCUUUGACCAAACUUUGCUCAUGAUGAUGGAAUCUUAAGUAACUGUUGCUUCGCCACAGGACUAUCCCUCCAUUGGAGUUUGCCGGAUGUUUUUCUCAUGAUUAAA